GCGUAUCAAAGAAUGCUUGUAAAAAAACUAUACGUGAAGCAUAUUUAAAAAAAAGUAAAAAUAUAUCACCCAGAUUUAAAUAAAAGUCCAGAAGCUACAUCAAAAUUUAAACAACUUCAAGAAGCUUAUCAAGCUUUGUAUAAUAAUGAUUGUUCACAAAAAACAUACCAAAGUGAAAAUACAUCUAGUAGAAGUUACUAUUCGAAAAAUACACAGAACAAUCAGACUUAUGACCAGUCUGAUGAUUUUAACGAUUUUCAUCGAGCUUUUUAUGAAGAAGUUCGUAGAAUGAGAGAAAAUGAAAAGAAAGAACAAUAUAGAAGAUACGCAAAUAAUACGAACAGCUACACAUUCAAUGAUUUUGUCCAUAAAUAUGCUAGGGAAUACUUUUAUAUAAAUUUAAUUUUUAAAUUAUUUCCCCUGUUUGUAGUUCCUUUUUUAUUUUUUUUUGUUGUAUAUAAGCAUUACAUGUAAUAAAAAAAAAAAAUAUAUAUACAUAUAUAUAUAUAUAUGCACAAUACGUAUAUAAAUUUUUAUGAGUAUGUUAUAUAUUUGAGUGCUCCUUUUUAUAUACUUUUUUUUUUUUUUUUUACUAUAUUAUGAUAUAUUGUAUAUAUAAAAAAAAUGAUAUUAUUUAUUUUAUCCAAUGGUGCACAUCAUUUUACACUAAAUUUUUUUUUUUUUUAGUUUGAAAGCACACUUGAGAGAAAAACCUGUACUCCUGUAUGAUUCUUAUGGUAA
This 741-nucleotide long non-coding RNA is filed under the name Piliocolobus tephrosceles (Ugandan red Colobus). RNAcentral's name for it is "lncRNA (ENSPTEG00000028480.1)". Lineage: Eukaryota; Metazoa; Chordata; Mammalia; Primates; Cercopithecidae. The record is from RNAcentral.